CGAAUAGUGUUGCUAGCCCCCAACAGCCCACUCAGGCAUUAGGUCCUCGUCAACAGAGUCCAGUUGUAAAUGGAUCACAGGGCCCUCCUGGAUCAUCAUUGAACCCACAAAUACCCCAACAGGGUCAUCCUGUUAGGCCGCCACAACCUCCAAGCGCAAACACCCCACAAGUACCCCAACCGGGUCAUCCAGUUAGGCCGCCACAACCUCCAAGUGCAAACACCCCACAAGUACCCCAACCGGGUCAUCCUGUUAGGCCGCCACAACCUCCAAAUGCAAACACCCCCCCUGCUCAGGGAAUUGCGCCAAGGCCACCCGUAGGAGGUGGUCUAAGUGGGCUAAAUCAGGCUGGUUCAACGACGGCAAAUCUAUCCACCGAUUGGUUCAGUGGCAAGAAAAGUGCAAGUCCAUUGGGC
RNAcentral lists this long non-coding RNA (416 nucleotides) under Hordeum vulgare. Its description in RNAcentral is "long non-coding RNA (HVUL_LNC020720)". Lineage: Eukaryota; Viridiplantae; Streptophyta; Magnoliopsida; Poales; Poaceae. The record is from RNAcentral.